RNAcentral lists this non-coding RNA (27 nucleotides) under Cricetulus griseus (Chinese hamster). The record is from RNAcentral. Lineage: Eukaryota; Metazoa; Chordata; Mammalia; Rodentia; Cricetidae.
UUUAUCACAGCAUAUUAGGACACUGGG